UCCUGAUUAGCUCAGUUGGUAGAGCCCUACACUGGAAAUGGAGAGGCCCCUGGUUCGAUACCAGGACCAGGUG
This 73-nucleotide transfer RNA is filed under the name Ixodes scapularis (black-legged tick). It matches the Rfam family "tRNA". From Rfam's summary of the family: Transfer RNA (tRNA) molecules are approximately 80 nucleotides in length. The record is from Rfam by way of RNAcentral. Lineage: Eukaryota; Metazoa; Arthropoda; Arachnida; Ixodida; Ixodidae.